Conger conger (European conger) is the source of this 597-nucleotide long non-coding RNA. RefSeq lists it as uncharacterized. Lineage: Eukaryota; Metazoa; Chordata; Actinopteri; Anguilliformes; Congridae. The transcript is spliced from 4 exons. The record is from RefSeq and is a predicted model, not a curated record.
AAAUUGUGCAGGACCCAACCAACAGACCCAUAGCUCUCCAGGACCAGGGUUGGAGACCACUGACCUGGGCCAUCCAGUGGUCAUAUUUGUAUGUUGUACAAAGCAGUCUUCUUCUAAGUUCUGCCGUCAUAGUGACAUUGGCUCAGGAGGUAAGAGGAGAUCGAUCCCGCCCUGGGUGUGUCGGAGUGUCCCUGAGCAAGACACCUCCUGACGAGCUGGUUGGUGCCUUGCAUGGCAGCCAAUCGCCGUUGACUGGUGAUGAGGAACGUCCUUGGCUGAAUGCUGCCUGGCUCCAAUACAGGAGAUCUUAUGGGGAGCACAGUGUGAGAAGAUAAAGCCUCCUGGGACGGUCGGGAGAGUGGAUCUGGACCAGAGAGACUACUGACCAGUGAUUCACAGUGUAAUCCCUGGUUUACAUGGAACAUCAUAUUCAGAUGUGGUGUUUAUUAUCAGAACAUCAACUGUGGCUGAAGAAAGUAGUCCUGAAUCAGUUUGCUAUUUUCACUUUCUCACACAUUCACUCUGUAUUGUAAAAGAAUUGCUUAAUGGGUGGCCCAUUCCUGCAGUUGUGAUAUUUUACCACUAGGUGGUGAAAAG